Molecule: unclassified non-coding RNA, 690 nt
Filed under: Hevea brasiliensis (rubber tree)
Lineage: Eukaryota; Viridiplantae; Streptophyta; Magnoliopsida; Malpighiales; Euphorbiaceae
Source: RNAcentral
UCUCUCUCUCUCUCUCUCUCUCUGCGCCACAUCACAACCCCAGGAGUCUCAGCAUUGCAGCAUAGCAGCAGGGCAGUGCACUGCUGCUCUGCGUCUCAGUCUCGCAGAUUAGCUAAAAAGAAAAAGAAAACCCAUCAACAAACUUAAAGCAAAUACAGAAAAACAGAAAAGAAAUCAAACCCUCUCUCCAUUUAUUACCAUUUCAGCCCUAAAUUUAUUUUCUUUUUAACCAAAAAUUAAAGGCUUUGAUUUGAUAUCUUGAAAAAGCACUUUGAGUCUUGACUCCCAUCUCCCUGUUAUUAAGCAAAUGCCAAAGUUGCAUUGAUGCAGCCAUGAAAGGUAGUCUCUUUUCUCUCUAUAACCAUUCCCCUUUCGCAAAUCUUUUCCUUCUUCAACUUUACACUCCUUCUGUUUAGUUGGGGUUGAGGAUAAAAUGUUGGGUAUCAUAGAUCUUAAUACCACGGAGGAGGAUCAAACGACACCGUCUUCUGGGUCUUUGUCUUCUCCAUCCUCGUCUUCUGCUUCUGCUUUAAGUGCUUCUAAUUUAAGCCCGUCUGGGUCUGGUUCUGCUUCUUCUUCGGUGUGUUUGGAGCUCUGGCAUGCUUGUGCGGGCCCGCUCAUAUCCUUGCCUAAGAGAGGGAGUGUGGUCGUGUACUUUCCUCAGGGCCACUUGGAGCAACUCCCUGAUUU